UACGGGGGGGGCAAGCGUUGUUCGGAAUUACUGGGCGUAAAGGGCUCGUAGGCGGCCAACUAAGUCAGACGUGAAAUCCCCAGGCUCAACCUGGGAACUGCGUCUGAUACUGGAUGGCUUGAAUUCGGGAGAGGGAUGCAGAAUUCCAGGUGUAGCGGUGAAAUGCGUAGAUAUCUGGAGGAACACCGGUGGCGAAGGCGGCAUCCUGGACCGGUAUUGACACUGAUGAGCGAAAGCCAGGGGAGCAAACGGG
This 253-nucleotide ribosomal RNA is filed under the name uncultured bacterium. Its description in RNAcentral is "partial 16S ribosomal RNA". It matches the Rfam family "Bacterial small subunit ribosomal RNA", at positions 524 to 776 of the family's 1533-position model. The record is from RNAcentral.